CAGUCGCCACGGUAAUACGUAGGGUGCAAGCGUUAAUCGGAAUUACUGGGCGUAAAGGGUGCGUAGGCGGCUUGACAAGUCUUGUGUGAAAUCUAUGGGCUCAACCCAUAGUCUGCACGGGAAACUGUCGGGCUUGAGAAUGGGAGAGGUGAGUGGAAUUUCCGGUGUAGCGGUGAAAUGCGUAGAUAUCGGAAGGAACACCUGUGGCGAAAGCGGCUCACUGGACCAUUUCUGACGCUGAUGCACGAAAGCUAGGGGAGCAAACAGGAUUAGAUACCCGGGUAGUCCCUGUCUCUUAUAC
RNAcentral lists this ribosomal RNA (301 nucleotides) under uncultured bacterium. RNAcentral's name for it is "partial 16S ribosomal RNA". It matches the Rfam family "Bacterial small subunit ribosomal RNA", at positions 509 to 807 of the family's 1533-position model. The record is from RNAcentral.